RNAcentral lists this long non-coding RNA (1039 nucleotides) under Monodelphis domestica (gray short-tailed opossum). RNAcentral describes it as "lncRNA (ENSMODG00000037351.1)". The record is from RNAcentral. Lineage: Eukaryota; Metazoa; Chordata; Mammalia; Didelphimorphia; Didelphidae.
CUGGCAGGGGAAAGAUUCCUUGGAGAAACAGUUUACUAGUCUGUUGGGGGAUGGCAGCUACCAAAGAAGCUGGAGGUGGGUGAUCUGUGCUCCUGUGGACAUUUUUGGAUCAUCCUACAAGGAGCCCUCAGAAGCAGGAAGGGGAUAAGAGGUUUUCAAUACCCUUAGGUGGACUAAGGGACAAUAUUGGGAGCUCCAGCCAUUCUCUGGACCAUCUAGGACUCCUCAUCAUCCAGCCUCUCCUUGCCAAAAGACUCUAUAUAUAAGAACUGGAAGAGAUCACAAUGAUACUCCUCCACCAUCAAACCUAGAAUUCACUAUACCUCCCUGUGCAAAGAAUGCAUUCUUCGAAGCACCAGACAUACAAAGAUAAAGACAACAUAGACCCUUCUCUCAAGGAGUUUACAGUCUAAUGGAAGACAAUUGGGGGAAGAAAGCGAGACUCAGAAAGGCACAGCAACUUGCCCAUGGUACCCAAUGAGGGUCAGAGACAAGAGGAAGAAAAAGAAACAAGAAUUUAUUCAUCACCUGCUCUGUGCCAGGGAGUUGAAGUUAAGCUGUUGGACGCCGGCUACCCAAGACCAUGCCAGCCCAAUGCAAGGCAUGAAGCCAAAACAAAUUGCCUUUCCACUACCCCUUUCGGGACAAGAUCAUCCAUUGGCAAUUAUCUUUCACUUGUAAAGACGGUAGAAGACAUGCCUUCCCAAAUAUCCCAGCCGAAAGACCUCUCCAAAAAUGCCUGAUGUUUCUAAGUCAUGCCACAAACACUACUGUGGACAAGAGAGGUAAGUAGAGUGACUGGAGAGUUUGAUUUUUCAUCCUCAGACAGUGGCCGCCUUUUCUCCUCUUUUCAAAAGGUGCAGUUCCUCCAAAUGAGAAUUCUCCUUUCCAUCUCUCUUGGUCUGAGCCGCCAUGUUCAAUUGGAAACGGGGCUUUCGAGAGCCACAGAAUCCACUGGCAACUUUCAUAAUUAUUGGGAAUGUUCUCUCUAAUUAACAAGGGGUAAUUGUUUCUGUUUUGUAAAUUGAUCUGAGAUGAA